This 97-nucleotide non-coding RNA is filed under the name Flavobacteriia bacterium. RNAcentral describes it as "TPP sequence". It matches the Rfam family "TPP riboswitch aptamer (THI element)". From Rfam's summary of the family: Vitamin B(1) in its active form thiamin pyrophosphate (TPP) is an essential coenzyme that is synthesised by coupling of pyrimidine and thiazole moieties in bacteria. The previously detected thiamin-regulatory element, thi box was extended, resulting in a new, highly conserved RNA secondary structure, the THI element, which is widely distributed in eubacteria and also occurs in some archaea. Analysis of operon structures identified a large number of new candidate thiamin-regulated genes, mostly transporters, in various prokaryotic organisms. Lineage: Bacteria; Pseudomonadati; Bacteroidota; Flavobacteriia. The record is from RNAcentral.
UCAUGUCUCUAAGGGGUGUUCCGGUAAACGGAACUGAGAUUAUACCCAUUGACCUGAUCAAGGUAAUGCUUGCGUAGGGAAGUGACGGACUUAUUAU